RNAcentral lists this non-coding RNA (30 nucleotides) under Mus musculus (house mouse). Lineage: Eukaryota; Metazoa; Chordata; Mammalia; Rodentia; Muridae. The record is from RNAcentral.
UGGCCUUAGAGUUCUUUCAUGAGUUCACUG